UACGGAGGGUGCGAGCGUUGUCCGGAAUCAUUGGGCGUAAAGGGCGCGUAGGUGGCCCGGUCAGCGUGCGGUGAAAGCUCGGGGCUCAACCCCGAGUCGGCCGUGCGAACUGCUGGGCUCGAGCACUGUAGAGGCAGGCGGAAUUCCGGGUGUAGCGGUGGAAUGCGUAGAGAUCCGGAAGAACACCGGUGGCGAAGGCGGCCUGCUGGGCAGUGGCUGACACUGAGGCGCGACAGCGUGGGGAGCAAACAGGG
RNAcentral lists this ribosomal RNA (254 nucleotides) under uncultured bacterium. RNAcentral describes it as "partial 16S ribosomal RNA". It matches the Rfam family "Bacterial small subunit ribosomal RNA", at positions 524 to 777 of the family's 1533-position model. The record is from RNAcentral.